AAGCGGUGGAGCAUGUGGUUUAAUUCGAUGAUACGCGAGGAACCUUACCUGGGCUCAAAUGUAUGUUGACGUAUUCUGAAAGGGAUACUUCUUCGGACAAUAUACAAGGUGCUGCAUGGUUGUCGUCAGCUCGUGCCGUGAGGUGUCGGGUUAAGUCCCAUAACGAGCGCAACCCUAUCAUUAGUUGCCAUCAGGUCAAGCUGGGGACUCUAAUGAAACUGCCUACGCAAGUAGUGAGGAAGGUGGGGAUGACGUCAAAUCAGCACGGCCCUUACGUCCAGGGCUACACACGUGCUACAAUGGCCGGUACAAAGGGCAGCUACCUGGUGACAGGAUGCUAAUCUCAAAAGCCGGUCUCAGUUCGGAUCGGAGUCUGCAACCCGACUCCGUGAAGCUGGAAUCGCUAGUAACCGCGCAUCAGCCAUGGCGCGGUGAAUACGUUCCCGGGCCUU
RNAcentral lists this ribosomal RNA (452 nucleotides) under uncultured Sphingobacteriales bacterium. Its description in RNAcentral is "bacterial SSU rRNA". It matches the Rfam family "Bacterial small subunit ribosomal RNA", at positions 927 to 1382 of the family's 1533-position model. Lineage: Bacteria; Pseudomonadati; Bacteroidota; Sphingobacteriia; Sphingobacteriales. The record is from RNAcentral.